RNAcentral lists this ribosomal RNA (346 nucleotides) under uncultured bacterium. RNAcentral describes it as "partial 16S ribosomal RNA". It matches the Rfam family "Bacterial small subunit ribosomal RNA", at positions 338 to 676 of the family's 1533-position model. The record is from RNAcentral.
CCUACGGGCGGCAGCAGUAGGGAAUCUUCCACAAUGGGCGAAAGCCUGAUGGAGCAACGCCGCGUGGGUGAAGAAGGUCUUCGGAUCGUAAAACCCUGUUGUUCGAGAAACAAGUGCGUGAACGUAACUGUUCACGUUUCGACGGUAUCUAACCAGACAGCCUCGGCUAACUACGUGCCAGCAGCCGCGGUAAUACGUAGGUGGCAAGCGCUGUCCGGAUUUAUUGGGCGUAAAGGGAACGCAGGCGGGCUUUUAAGUCUGAUGUGAAAGCCUUCGGCUUAACCGGAGGAGUGCAUUGGAAACUGGGAGACUUGAGUGCAGAAGAGGAGAGGGGAACUGCAUGGGU